Molecule: non-coding RNA, 118 nt
Organism: Cladorrhinum samala
Lineage: Eukaryota; Fungi; Ascomycota; Sordariomycetes; Sordariales; Podosporaceae
Source: the annotation of a GenBank genome assembly
GGCCCCGUAGCGUAGUGGUCAGCGCACCGAAAAGGGCCAGCGUUGUUUUCCUUAGCGAAGUUUGCUUUUCUGAACAACCUUACCAGCGGAGGCGUCAGUUCGAACCUGACCGGGGCCA